RNAcentral lists this ribosomal RNA (1163 nucleotides) under uncultured organism. Its description in RNAcentral is "bacterial SSU rRNA". It matches the Rfam family "Bacterial small subunit ribosomal RNA", at positions 272 to 1439 of the family's 1533-position model. The record is from RNAcentral.
GGCGACAACGGGUAGCUGGUCUGAGAGGAUGGUCAGCCACACUGGAACUGAGACACGGUCCAGACACCUACGGGUGGCAGCAGUCGAGAAUCAUUCGCAAUGGGGGAAACCCUGACGAUGCGACGCCGCGUGGAGGAUGAAGGCCUUAGGGUUGUAAACUCCUGUCAAGAGGGAAUAAGCAAGUGAAGGUACCUCUAGAGGAAGGGGCGGCUAAUUCCGUGCCAGCAGCCGCGGUAACACGGAAGCCCCGAGCGUUGUUCGGAUUCAUUGGGCGUAAAGGGUGCGUAGGCGGCGCGGAAAGUCCGGCGUGAAAGGCAGGGGCUCAACCUCUGGACUGCGUUGGAUACUUCCGUGCUUGAGGACUGGAGGGGAGACUGGAAUUCACGGUGUAGCAGUGAAAUGCGUAGAUAUCGUGAGGAAGACCGGUGGCGAAGGCGAGUCUCUGGACAGAUCCUGACGCUGAGGCACGAAGGCUGGGGGAGCGAACAGGAUUAGAUACCCUGGUAGUCCCAGCAGUAAACGAUGUGAGCUUGAUGUGGGGGGAUUCGACCCCUUCCGUGUCGAAGCUAACGCGAUAAGCUCACCGCCUGAGGAGUACGGCCGCAAGGCUAAAACUCAAAGAAAUUGACGGGGACCCGCACAAGCGGUGGAGUAUGUGGCUUAAUUCGAUGCAACGCGAAGAACCUUACCUGGCCUUGACAUGCAUUGUGUCGUCGGUGAAAGCCGGCUAGUCCUGGAAACAGGACGCUUUGCACAGGUGCUGCAUGGCUGUCGUCAGCUCGUGUCGUGAGAUGUUGGGUUAAGUCCCGCAACGAGCGCAACCCUUGUGGUCAGUUACUAACCGGCUUAGCCGGAGGACUCUGGCCAGACUGCCCUGUCAAACGGGGAGGAAGGUGGGGACGACGUCAAGUCAGUAUGGCCCUUAUGGCCAGGGCUGCACACGUACUACAAUGCCCGGUACAAUGUGAACCGAAACCGCGAGGUGGAGGAAAUCGCUCUUGAAAACCGGGCCCAGUUCGGAUUGGAGUCUGCAACUCGACUCCAUGAAGUCGGAAUCGCUAGUAAUGGCGUAUCAGCAACGACGCCGUGAUACGUUCCCGGGUCUUGUACACACCGCCCGUCACAUCAUGGAAGUCUCCUGUACCCGAAGCACGUGCGCCAAC